CCCUCUCUCACCGUUUCAAUCUUUCGUUUCUCUUUCCAGACGUCACCGAAGCUUUUUUCUCACUGCCUCGUUCUUCAUCUAGAGGGAGAAAGUGAGUAUCCAUGGUUCAUUUCUCUGAAGAUAUGGAAGCAGUCUCUCUGUGUUAUCAUCAUGCUUCUGUUUGUGUUUAAUAUAGCUGAAAGGGGCGGAAGGUUAUCACCGGGGAUUGGCUGAUGGGGAGAACAUCGUUUUCUUAAUUUUUUUGAUUUCUUUAGUUAAGGCAAAAAGGAUCGUAGCCUGACAUGUUCAUCAUAUGGUUCAAUCACAAAUGUCUGGGGGAAAUUACCAAUUAGAUGCAAGAAAUAU
Telopea speciosissima is the source of this 345-nucleotide long non-coding RNA. RefSeq lists it as uncharacterized. The record is from RefSeq and is a predicted model, not a curated record. The transcript has 3 exons. NCBI's taxonomy places the organism in Eukaryota, Viridiplantae, Streptophyta, Magnoliopsida, Proteales, Proteaceae.